Molecule: ribosomal RNA, 116 nt
Filed under: Propithecus coquereli (Coquerel's sifaka)
Lineage: Eukaryota; Metazoa; Chordata; Mammalia; Primates; Indriidae
Source: RNAcentral
GCCUACAGCCAUGCUACCCUAAAGGUACCUGAUCUUGUCUGAUCUCAGAAGCUAAGCAGGGUCGGGCCUGGUUAGUACUUGGAUGGGAGACAAAUGAUAAUAAGAUACAGCAUACU